Molecule: long non-coding RNA, 647 nt
Filed under: Hordeum vulgare
Lineage: Eukaryota; Viridiplantae; Streptophyta; Magnoliopsida; Poales; Poaceae
Description: long non-coding RNA (HVUL_LNC001903)
Source: RNAcentral
CCAAAAUACCACUGAGUUCAAUUUUUUAUAGUCAAAAUAUCACUAGUUCAUAACUGAGACUAACACCAUCUAAAAAAGACUUACAUGCCCUUACCUCUUCAACACAGAAUGAACAAACACAAAAUGGUUCACACAAGUCACAACAGAGUAUAGCAGAUUUUUAUACUAGCAGAUAGAGAGUACCACAAGCAUCAGAGAUUCAUCCCACCAGCUGCCGUCGAGGGCCUGGAAGGACGACGUCAGGCCUCGUCGGGGGCGAGCGGGAGGGCGCCAGCGGCUGACGUCGAGGCCAAAGGACGUCGUCGCCAGGGCCCGGUCCUCGUCGGGGGCCAGCGACUGUUGUCGAGGCCAGAGGGCGGCGCUGGGGCCUGGUCCUCGUCAGGGGCGAGCGGUAGGGCGGCGCUGGGCGGUGACGCUACGGGAGGGCGGCGUGGCGACCGGAAGGGCGGCGGAGUGAGCGUCGGCGCGCCGUCAUGGGUAAGGUGGGAGAGGAUACGGGAGAGAUUGGGCUAGGGUCCUAUGUAUAGGUUUAUUAUGGGAGCGUUUUGAGAAUACCAGAAAAACUGAUUAGACAUUAACGAUUUGACUCACAUAAUUAGUUUGACAUUUCACGGAAAUGUCAUUGUGGCAUGAAAAACUAAGAGAGG